This 454-nucleotide ribosomal RNA is filed under the name Micromonospora sp. 7C. Its description in RNAcentral is "bacterial SSU rRNA". It matches the Rfam family "Bacterial small subunit ribosomal RNA", at positions 55 to 527 of the family's 1533-position model. The record is from RNAcentral. Lineage: Bacteria; Bacillati; Actinomycetota; Actinomycetes; Micromonosporales; Micromonosporaceae.
AUGCAAGUCGAGCGGAAAGGCCCUUCGGGGUACUCGAGCGGCGAACGGGUGAGUAACACGUGAGCAACCUGCCCUAGGCUUUGGGAUAACCCCGGGAAACCGGGGCUAAUACCGAAUAGGACCUCUGACCGCAUGGUUGGUGGUGGAAAGUUUUUCGGCCUGGGAUGGGCUCGCGGCCUAUCAGCUUGUUGGUGGGGUGAUGGCCUACCAAGGCGACGACGGGUAGCCGGCCUGAGAGGGCGACCGGCCACACUGGGACUGAGACACGGCCCAGACUCCUACGGGAGGCAGCAGUGGGGAAUAUUGCACAAUGGGCGGAAGCCUGAUGCAGCGACGCCGCGUGAGGGAUGACGGCCUUCGGGUUGUAAACCUCUUUCAGCAGGGACGAAGCGUAAGUGACGGUACCUGCAGAAGAAGCGCCGGCCAACUACGUGCCAGCAGCCGCGGUAAUGCA